Molecule: ribosomal RNA, 600 nt
Filed under: uncultured Actinomycetes bacterium
Lineage: Bacteria; Bacillati; Actinomycetota; Actinomycetes
Description: bacterial SSU rRNA
Rfam family: Bacterial small subunit ribosomal RNA
Source: RNAcentral
GUGGGGUAAUGGCCUACCAAGGCAUCGACGGGUAGCUGGUCUGAGAGGACGAUCAGCCACACUGGGACUGAGACACGGCCCAGACUCCUACGGGAGGCAGCAGUAGGGAAUCUUGCGCAAUGGGCGAAAGCCUGACGCAGCAACGCCGCGUGGGGGAUGACGGCUCUAGGGUUGUAAACCCCUUUCAGCAGGGACGAAAAUGACGGUACCUGCAGAAGAAGGUCCGGCCAACUACGUGCCAGCAGCCGCGGUAAUACGUAGGGACCAAGCGUUGUCCGGAAUUAUUGGGCGUAAAGAGCUCGUAGGCGGUUCGGUAAGUCGGGUGUGAAAAUCCAGGGCUCAACCCUGGGACGCCACCCGAUACUGCUGUGACUAGAGUCCGGUAGAGGAGCGUGGAAUUCCUGGUGUAGCGGUGAAAUGCGCAGAUAUCAGGAGGAACACCAGCGGCGAAGGCGGCGCUCUGGGCCGGUACUGACGCUGAGGAGCGAAAGCAUGGGGAGCAAACAGGAUUAGAUACCCUGGUAGUCCAUGCCGUAAACGUUGGGCACUAGGUGUGGGUCUCAACCAACGAGAUCCGCGCCGUCGCUAACGCAUUAAGUG